RNAcentral lists this ribosomal RNA (460 nucleotides) under uncultured bacterium. RNAcentral's name for it is "bacterial SSU rRNA". It matches the Rfam family "Bacterial small subunit ribosomal RNA", at positions 355 to 819 of the family's 1533-position model. The record is from RNAcentral.
UAGGGAAUCUUGCGCAAUGGGCGAAAGCCUGACGCAGCAACGCCGCGUGGGGGAAGAAGGCUUUCGGGUUGUAAACCUCUUUCAGGGGGACGAAGCCACCGGGGUUAAUAGCCCACGGGGUGACGGUACCCCAGAAGAAGCCCCGGCUAACUACGUGCCAGCAGCCGCGGUAAUACGUAGGGGGCAAGCGUUGUCCGGAAUCAUUGGGCGUAAAGCGCGUGUAGGUGGCUUGGUAAGUCCGGUGUGAAACCUUGGGGCUCAACCCCAAGCCUGCAUCGGAUACUGCCUCGCUCGAGUUCGGGAGGGGAGAGCGGAAUUCCUAGUGUAGCGGUGAAAUGCGCAGAUAUUAGGAAGAACACCGGUGGCGAAGGCGGCUCUCUGGAACGAUACUGACACUGAGACGCGAAAAGCGUGGGUAGCGAACAGGAUUAGAUACCCAAGUAGUCCCUGAGCGGGCUGG